This 1095-nucleotide ribosomal RNA is filed under the name Triticum aestivum (bread wheat). Its description in RNAcentral is "partial small subunit ribosomal RNA". Lineage: Eukaryota; Viridiplantae; Streptophyta; Magnoliopsida; Poales; Poaceae. The record is from RNAcentral.
AUGGCAGCAGCUCAGGCCCCAACCAUGGAGACCCCCACCGGCGCGCAGCUGGUCCAGGCGCAGGCGGACCUGUGGCGCCACAGCCUCACCUACCUCACGUCCAUGGCACUCCGGUGCGCCAUCCAGCUCGGCGUCCCCACCGCGAUCCACCGCCUCGGCGGCGCCGCGUCGCCGCCGGACCUGGCGGCCGCGCUGUCGCUCCCUCCGUCCAAGGCGCCGUUCCUCGGCCGCCUCCUGCGACUUCUGGCCACGUCCAACGUCCUCGCGGCGUCUGCCGGCGGCUACGCCCUCACCCCGCUCUCGUACCUCCUCGUCGACGGCCAGGACGGGCACGCGGCCUUCGCGCUGGGCGUGGCCUCGCGGUACCACGUGGAGGCGUCCCUGGGGCUGGCCGACUGGUUCAGGAAGGACGUCGACGUCGCCGUCACGGACCCACCGGGGGUGCCGUCGCCGUUCGAGGACGCGCACGGCGCGAUGCUCUUCGAGGAGAGCAUGGCGCUGCUCGACCCCGAGACCGACAAGAUGUUCCACGAGGGCCUGGCCGCCCACGAUCACACGGGGAUGAGCAUGCUCCUGCGGGAGUGCCGCGACCUGUUCGGCAGCCUCCGGUCGCUCACCGACUGCUGCGGUGGCGACGGGACGACGGCCAGGGCCGUCGUCGAGGCCUUCCCGCACGUCAAGUGCACCGUGCUGGACCUUCCGCGGAAGAUCGAGAAGGCCCCACGCGAUGGGGUCGUCGACUACGUCGCGGGUGACCUGUUCCAUUCCAUCCCACCGGCCCAAGCCGUGAUGCUCAAGCUCGUCCUACACUGGUGGUGUGACGAGGAUUGCAUCAAGAUUCUAGCAGAGUGCAAAAAGUCCAUUCCUUCCCGAGAAGAGGGAGGAAAAGUGAUCGUCAUUGACAUAGUGGUUGGCCAUUCUUGCGAGGCAACGUACGAGCCUCAGGUGCUGGCGGAUAUGCUCAUGCUGCUGGUCACCAGAGGACGGCAGCGGGACGAAGACGACUGGAGCGCUAUCUUCACAAAAGCUGGGUUCAGCGGAUACAAGAUUGUCAAGAAAUUCGGAGCUCGAAGUGUCAUCGAGGUCUACCCAUAA